CCUACGGUAGGCAGCCGUCGGGCAUAUUGCGCACUGGAGGCAACUCUGACGCAGUGACGCCGCGUGAAUGAAGCAGGUAUUCGGAUUGUCCAAUGCUUUAUACAGGGAAGAAAAACGACAGUACCUUUAGCUUAAGCUCAGGCUAAAUACGUAACAGCAGCCGCGGUAAUACGUAGGGAGCAAGCGUUAUCCGGAAGUAUUGGGUGUAAAAGGUGCGUAGACGUAGAAGGAAGUUAGUUGUGAAAUCCCUCGGCUUAACUGAGGAAUUGCAACUAAGACUACUUACCUUGAGUACUGGAGAGGAAAGUGGAAUUCCUAGUGUAGCGGUGAAAGGCGUAGAGAGUAGGAGGAACACCGGUGGCGAAGGCGACUGUCUGGACAGUAACUGACGUGGAGGCACGAAAGUGUGGGGAGCAAACAGGAUUAGAGACCCCAGUAGUC
RNAcentral lists this ribosomal RNA (441 nucleotides) under uncultured bacterium. RNAcentral's name for it is "partial 16S ribosomal RNA". It matches the Rfam family "Bacterial small subunit ribosomal RNA", at positions 338 to 795 of the family's 1533-position model. The record is from RNAcentral.